AUGGUCCCCCCCACCCCCCAUGUGCAUGCCCUGGGACCAGGGGAAGGGGGGGCAGGGCAGGGUGCCCCCCUCCAGCCACGCUCUUACAUAGGGUUCCUGAAGGCAAGGUCUUGGCAGCGGGGCGGCAGCGCAGGGUCCAUGACCAUGGACGAUGAGAGCAUCGGUGAGGUGCUGUGGGGAGGAGCAGGAGCAUUUUUUGGGGGGGGGAGGAGGAGGAAACAUGGCCCAGCCAUGCUAGGGGGAAGUGGGGGGGUCCAAUGUGUCCCCACCCCAAUCAUGGCACUGCUCCUACCUGGGGAAGGAGGACCCCAUGCCCUCGGGGACCAUCAUGUUCAUGUUGCUCUCACCCGCGGGGUAGCUGGGCAUGGGCUGGGAGCAGAAGGGAGCAGGGGGGCUGCGAGUGCAGAUGGGGGGGGGGCAGCAGGUGAGGGCAUCCUCCAGGGCAGCCCCCUCCCCUCCCAGCACGCGCCCAGAGAGCUGCCCCUGCCCCUGGGCGGGCACUCACCAGAUGGGGCUGAGCACCGACUGCAGGUUCUCGGGGCGCAGCUCUUGCUGCAGCACGGGCAGGCUGAACAUCUGAGCCUGGGGGGGCUCGGGGCCCCCCCCUGCAGUGCUCUGGGGCUGCUGGUCCCUGUAGAGGCACACCGACCCCCUCAGCACAGGCAGGACUCCUGCACUGUAGGGUCCUUGCUCACGAGCACCUCCCCAUCUCCCCGUUUCCCCAUUUCCCCCAGACAGAAAUCCCCCUGCCCAGCAGCGAUGCUCAGGCUGGCCGCUAUCACCUGCCCGUGCACACACCUCCAUGGGGGCUCGCCGACAGCCUCCUGCCCCCACCCACCUCUCGCUUUCCACCGUCAUCUUGAUGGCGGUGGAGACGUAGCCGCGGCCGUCCUUGCCCGUCUGCUCUUCUGCGGGGAGAGGAGAAGCAGCCGUGAGCCACCGCCCCGCAUGGGACGAUGCUGCACCAGCCUUGGCAGCAGGACCCUGGACCCAAAUCCCUCUGCCCCCCUCGCAGCCCCCCUGCUCCCCCCACUCACUGUUGUAGUGGCUGCCAAACGCCUGGUCCUUGGGGGUGUUGGGGUAGAGGUUGCGGAGCUGCCCCAGGUCCCGGAAUGCGGUCGCCGAGGGAUCGGAUGGACAGGUCCUUGGCGGAGAAGGGCUGGAUGUUCUCCACCUGGCUGGAGCCUGGGGGUGACACGGCACGGGGUCCACUGCCUGCCCCCCCCGUAA
RNAcentral lists this long non-coding RNA (1230 nucleotides) under Anas platyrhynchos (mallard). RNAcentral's name for it is "lncRNA (ENSAPLG00020010200.1)". Lineage: Eukaryota; Metazoa; Chordata; Aves; Anseriformes; Anatidae. The record is from RNAcentral.